Long non-coding RNA from Leptinotarsa decemlineata (Colorado potato beetle), 387 nucleotides. NCBI's taxonomy places the organism in Eukaryota, Metazoa, Arthropoda, Insecta, Coleoptera, Chrysomelidae. The record is from RefSeq and is a predicted model, not a curated record.
AGGAAAAAAUAUGGUGGAGACUUGUCAACCGCGAUAUUCGAUAUCAUUAUAGGAUUCCCACUAGACCAUGUUGCCAUUUGUUUCGACAACAGGACAGAAAUUGAGUUCGUGGAACACUUGGUCAAACAACUGAAAAACGGAACUGUUUUGAUAACAAUUUUUAACAUCGCCAUUACGGAAAUGCAAGAAAGGUAUUUCGAAUAUUUGUCAUAUCAGACGGAAAAUCAUUUAGAAUCGUACAAUAUCUUUUUUGGAACACAUCGACUAUAUGAACAUUUACUAUUGGAGAUUGCAAGCAGAAACUUCAUCCGACGAAACAUAAUCUAUAUUUUUUACUGGGGUCAGAGUCUAUUUUCGAGAUAUUUUCUGAGAAAUAUAAAAUACUGU